This 467-nucleotide ribosomal RNA is filed under the name Escherichia coli. Its description in RNAcentral is "partial 23S ribosomal RNA". It matches the Rfam family "Bacterial large subunit ribosomal RNA", at positions 1273 to 1742 of the family's 2925-position model. The record is from RNAcentral. Lineage: Bacteria; Pseudomonadati; Pseudomonadota; Gammaproteobacteria; Enterobacterales; Enterobacteriaceae.
CUGGAGGUAUCAGAAGUGCGAAUGCUGACAUAAGUAACGAUAAAGCGGGUGAAAAGCCCGCUCGCCGGAAGACCAAGGGUUCCUGUCCAACGUUAAUCGGGGCAGGGUGAGUCGACCCCUAAGGCGAGGCCGAAAGGCGUAGUCGAUGGGAAACAGGUUAAUAUUCCUGUACUUGGUGUUACUGCGAAGGGGGGACGGAGAAGGCUAUGUUGGCCGGGCGACGGUUGUCCCGGUUUAAGCGUGUAGGCUGGUUUUCCAGGCAAAUCCGGAAAAUCAAGGCUGAGGCGUGAUGACGAGGCACUACGGUGCUGAAGCAACAAAUGCCCUGCUUCCAGGAAAAGCCUCUAAGCAUCAGGUAACAUCAAAUCGUACCCCAAACCGACACAGGUGGUCAGGUAGAGAAUACCAAGGCGCUUGAGAGAACUCGGGUGAAGGAACUAGGCAAAAUGGUGCCGUAACUUCGGGAG